AGAGUUCGAUUAUGGCUCAGGAUGAACGCUGGCGGCGUGCUUAACACAUGCAAGUCGAACGAAGCACUUUAUUUGAUUUUCUUCGGAAAUGAAGAUUUUGUGACUGAGUGGCGGACGGGUGAGUAACGCGUGGGUAACCUGCCUCAUACAGGGGGAUAACAGUUGGAAACGACUGCUAAUACCGCAUAAGCGCACGGUAUCGCAUGAUACAGUGUGAAAAACUCCGGUGGUAUGAGAUGGACCCGCGUCUGAUUAGCCAGUUGGCGGGGUAACGGCCCACCAAAGCGACGAUCAGUAGCCGACCUGAGAGGGUGACCGGCCACAUUGGGACUGAGACACGGCCCAA
This 346-nucleotide ribosomal RNA is filed under the name uncultured bacterium. RNAcentral describes it as "bacterial SSU rRNA". It matches the Rfam family "Bacterial small subunit ribosomal RNA", at positions 8 to 334 of the family's 1533-position model. The record is from RNAcentral.